ACCAUAUAUUGUUUAUACUGUAUGAUACAUGAUUUUACAGACAGGGUCACAAAGACCUUGGAACUAGGGAUGUAACGGUAUUAUAAAUUUCGUGGUAUUCCGGUAUCAAAUUUUCAAUGAAUUAUUGUGGUCACAUGAUUCGAUAAAACGUUAGGUCUUCCCGGCAACAAGUGUAGUUUUUUUUUUUUUUGACCAAGUGUAGCGAGCAGAGGGAGACGCGGGAACUACAAUUCCCUUAAUCCAUGCAUGCCACUCUGAUGCCUCUCUAAGAGACUAUGGCAGACAAUGGCGGAUGCGGCCAGUGGCGAAGGAAAAGAAACGCAAAUUUUAAAUUGGAAGUGUGGAAAAAUUUUAGAUUCGCUGUGACAAGAAACGAGAAAGGACAAAAGGUGACGGACAUACAAAAGUGAGUGUGAGUGAAUCCAUGAAUGAGGAGAAUGUGUAUGCCGCUUCUCAAUUGAAAGGCUGCAGCUUUCUUUGGCUGCAUACGUCAUUAAGCCUUGUUUAUUUAUGUUAACGGAACAAGUCAUAAGCAUAUUACAACAAUAUAUGAUUAAAUAAGAAUAAUAGUCAAAGUUAUAUUCUGAAAUAAGAUGGUCAUCAUGACGUAUGCAGCCUACAAAUGCGACAUACGGGGGCUGAAGCCUUCCAUUUGAGAAACGUCCUGUAUCAGUAAGUGAGCUGACAUAACUCAGCUCGAGGUCCAACUGCAAUAAACGCUUAUGGCAGUUUUUCCAAGUCUUCAUUUUUUUUGUCCUUCCUGUAAAUGGGUCAAUAAAUACUUUACCGUGGGUAUCACACCGAAAUAGCAUCUUACUAUGAAUUUUUGAUACUGUUACAUCCCUUCUUGGAACUGUUAAAAAAACGAAUGCAAAAGUUUUUGAGGUGUUUUUUAUUGUCCAAAUGUUCAAACUACCGUAAAACUUCAAAUAAUAGCCGGGUCCCAAAUAGACGCCUGUCUCUUUUAGACGCCUGGUGUGACGACAGGUUUGGGUAAAUAAACGCCUGUCUCAAAUAAAGGCCUGGUCUGUUUUUUAGUUUCGGGUUGUAUUUAAUCUUCUAAAACCCGUCAGAUAGUCUGUUUAAGACAGUUCUAUGGUGCAGAUUACACACGCUAAAGUUUUGAUUACCUGUAGAUGUCACGUAACAGACGCAGUCGUUCCGUUACUCAUCACUAUGACAACACAACGAGCUUCGUCGCCAGGAUUGAGGUGAUGAUGACAGUAGCGAAGAGGCAAUCGGGAGUCGGGACUUUUCCCUGUGGGCCGGUAGUGUUUUGAGGCCGCUGAUAAUAGCCGGGCUUUCAGUCUUUUGUCAUGCAUGCACUCCCGCCACACAUUGUAUUUCUCGCGCGGAAACACCAUUUAUCAUAUUUAAUAUGCUGCAGCGCCAAAAUGUAUCUGGCCGCACUGCUCUCUCUCUCUCUAUCAAGCCCGUCUUCCCUAGAGUUCUAGUCGAGCGAGCCAAUACAAAAAAAGAGAAAGAGGCUACACAAUAGCCAAUCAGAAAAUAGCACUGUUGUAUCUGGGUAAGAUUUCACGCAACAACCAAUAAAAAAACAUAUCCUUGUUUGCUAUAUUUAUACUGCCAAUAAUUUAAGACUGUUGUUAUUACACAAACUAAUUUGUUAAACACAUUCAAAUUAAAAAUAAAACGUAAUAUGUGGUAACCUCCUGCUGUCAUGCUGGAACAAUUAAAUUAAAAGCCUGUCUCUUAUAGACGCCUGUCUCUUUUAGACGCCUGGUGUGAUGAUAGGUUUGGGAAAAUAAAAGCCCGGGCUAUUAUUUGAAGUUUUACGGUAAUUAGCGUCGCACACCUGAAGUCAAUGGAUAGGUGCGUAGGAUAAGACGACAAAAAGUCUCAAAAUAUACAAAGAACAAUUCCCGCACACUAUCUGCUUGCUGAAUUUUUUUUUAAUGAAAGUUGCGUUGCAACGUUUCGAUCAACUGAUCUUAAUCAGGCAACUAGUGGCCUGAUGAAGAUCAGUUGAUCGAAACGUUGCAACGCAACUUUCAUUAAAAAAAUUGUCCAAAUGUUGACAUGCAGACUGCUGUUAGUUUUCAACAAUAAAAACCACAAGCACAUGGAAUACAUUGUAGAGCCCGACUGAUAUGUAUUUGGGGGCCAAUGGAGCUAGGAUUAUGACAAAACGUUUUGAAUUUGAAAUACAUAAACUUGAAUUAUAGACAGUAUAAUUUAAUAAAACUGAAUAGUUUGAUGGAUUUGAUUAAUAUUACUGCACGCCUCUUUUUUCCAGCUCGUGUUUUAGCAACUCGCCUAUAGACCAUCCCCUAGAAAUAUUCAGGGCAGUAACCGUCGAAAGUUUUCAACUGCGCGGAUGAUACCCAGCUUUACAUCUCCUCUUAUCCUAGCGAAACACACCAGUUCUGUAAACUAACAGACUGUAUUAGCGAUAUAAGUGACUGGAUGACACAUAACUUCCUUAUGCUAAACUCCAAUAAGACAGAGAUAAUUAUUAUUGAACCAAAUCGCUCAAAACAAAAUAUGUCAGAUUACAAGUUGCCCAUAGAUUGCUGCACUGUGGUGCCAUCUUCCACGGAACUUAGGUGUAGUGUUCGACAACAAUUUAUCCUUCGAUAGUCAUAGCUCCCAACGUCUACCGCACAACAUUCUUCCGUCUUAGAAAUAUCUCAAAAAUACGCCAUAUGCUGUCUGCAUCAGAUGCAGAGAAGCUUAUCCACGCUUUUAUGACCUCUAGAUUAGACUAUUGUAACUCGUUACUGGGGGAUGCCAUGCAAAUCAGGUAAACGAGCUUCAGCUAGUUCAAAACGCCGCUGCAAGAGUGCUUACUUGUUCUAAGAAGUAUGACCACAUACAGGCCAGCUGAGGGCCCCCCGUCCCCCCUACCCGUCCCCCCCUACUUUAGUAGUAAAAUGUAGUACUGACACUAUAUACUGACACAAAAUAACUUUUAUUUAUAUAACGUCAACCCCCUCUUUUGAAAACCCCAAAAAAGUCAUACCCAAAAAAAUUAGAAGACAGUUCAUGAAGCCUUUGCACUAAAAGCAUAAGCUUAGAACCAUCAAAACACAACAAAUAGUGGGAUUAAAACCAUGUUUUUGCUAAACUCACUUUAUAACAGAAUUCAAGUGUUUUAAAUAACCAUACGUGAGCUGAUGUGGCUUUGGAUCAUAAAAUGAAACUAUAAUAUAAAGUUAUUGUAUUCCACAGUGCUAAAGGCUAUGUUUAUAAGCGUUGCAUUAUAAUAAAUAUACUGUAUUGGUUAUUAAAAUACCCAACAUGACUGGAAGAACACAGAUAGACCAUAUAUAAUCCCAACUGAGUUUAUUGUCAUCUUAUUUUAAUCUGUCACAUUAUAUUGCAUUUUAACACAACUGAACCCAGAUAGCAAGGUGAUAUUGAUUAAAUGUUGAAAUUCCAUCAGAAUCAUCAUUAUGGUCAAGUUUGAAAUUUCAAUGCUAAAAAUAUUGAAUCAAUGUUGCUAAUGUAUUGCUUUCUCAAUGUUGAAAAUCCAAACAUUGAAUCAAUGUUUAUAAUACAUUUAUUUUUCAAUGUUGAAAAGCCAAACAUUAACUCAAUGUUGAUUUUUGGUCAGCUUAAUCUGCACACUUUAAAACAAAUCAAAUUGGGUGAAUUUUUGUGUAAUUUAGUGAACAUAUUUACGAUCCUAUAAAGUCCUGUUUAUUUUGUGACCUAAACACCUUUCCCCCCAGGACCACCAUCAGACAAGUUUUUUGCUUUUAUACAGCAAGUAAAAAUUAUCUGGUCAGAUCAUCUCUAAAUAUGUGAGUCUUCAAGAAGAUUUCAAAUGUAUGAUAAUUUUGGGGAAUCAACAGCUAUUUUAAAUAUGUUUAACAAAAAUGACUUAAAUGCCUUAGACAGAAAUGCCUUAGUUUACCAUCGUCAGAAAACGGCCAACUAAGUGUAUAUUAACAAAUAACAAUCAUAGUCAAAACUGAUAUUAUUAAAAUAUCAAGUCAAAACUGAUAUUAUUAAUAAUCACAAAUCAAUGACAUUAUAAUGUUUAUUUUAUUUUUUUAUUUUUUUAUUUCAAUUUAUUUUUGCAGGAAUUGGUAUGAAAUAAAUAACCUAACAUUAUUUUGUUGCUUUUAUAUAUCUUAUAGUGUUUGUCUAGCAAAUGUGCAUAUAAUAUUGUAAAGUGUUAUAGAAAAAAAAUCGUGUGAAAUUUAAAUUAACUUUUAUUUUCAUUUAUUGCUCAAUUAAUAAUUAAUAGCCCAAAGAACACAGUAUAUAAUAAAAAAUUCCCCCACUGACUAUUAAAUGCGCCACACCCAGUCCAGUAGGUGGCGGUAAUGACCCUUCAGUUGCCAACCGCCACUCAGUUUAGAAGCGCAGAGCAGAAGAACGUCAAGUUUGGCCGCGAAAGGACAACGACAGUGCCAGUGGGGUUUUAGAGCUCUGUAGAAGAAUUCGCUACACGCUCCCGCGUUCUUCCAUCCAAGGCAACACCGCAUUCCACUGGCCCCGCAUGCAUACAUGAUAUGACGGUCUCCACGGACGGGCGAGGAUGCCCACGCAAUGGUCUACAACGAGCCUCCGCUUUUUGCGCACACGUCUCAAACGAAAGGCCCAUCAGAGUGAUUUCCUGAGUUCUCUCACACAUGGUCAGCGAAUGGAUUAUCCAGUCACAGUACAUAAUGAAAGACUUGCCAAAGAUAGAAGCAGCUGAGUGAAUCUUCAGAGUGAUUCUUCAGAGAGAAGAUGGAAUGAAUGUCUCACAAGAACCAAUGAAAUCUGGGAGACCUCAGAGGAUGUCCUUGCUGUGACUGUGCAAAAACAGCUAUGUUAUGCCCGUGGCGUGAACGGAUUGGUGUUUAAAAGGGCCUGCAUUCAACAGUGUCUCUGUUUAAUGUGAAGAAAAUCCAUCGCAUUUGCAUCAGAGGAGGAGCUUCAGUUACUGAAUAGUCCUAAACAAUGAACUGUGGUAAUGUUUCAAUUACUAAAUGUUUCAAGAAGUACAGUUGUGUUUGUCUUUGAGUUUUGUAUGGUACCUGUAUGUGGUCUUUCAAAAAUUGAAUUGAAUUGAAAUUGAAUUGCUUUUCCAAAUUCAUUUUGCUGAUGUAUGUUUAUGAUGUUGUCUCAAUUUUCCAGAGUCCUCUAGUGGCAAUAAUAUUUAUAAUUUUAAUUUGUACUUUUGUAUUUUAUGGCAAAAAAUUUGAAUCAUACAAUUGUAUUUUACGAUAUACGUUUAAAUUUGCUCGUGGUAUUUAAUUUCUUGAGCGUGAUAUCCUGUUUAAACUGUGUGGGUGUAUUCAGGGCCGCCUUAACCUAAUGUGAGGCCCUGGGGCUGAGAGGUUUUGGAGGCCCCCCAUAGCCUCAAUUUAUAGUCUCAUUAAAAAAAAUUUAAUAUCUAGGUAAUCUACAUCACAAAAUGCAUUAGUUUCUUUCAAUACAUACAACAGUGAGUUUUUCCUCUUUGACCCAGAAAACACCAUAAUAUCAUUAUUAACAUAUCACUGAGCCCACUUGAGCAUAAACACAAGACAGUUUAUUUAACAACCACACACAGCAACUUGUGGUGAAAAUAAAACCAAAAUGUGUGAGAGUAUAUAUGUUUAUAAGCUUUAUGUUUAUAUAGUUUUUAGAAUAUACAAAUUUGCAGAAAAGUGCCACUCACUAACUAAAUGCUCAGCACAGUUUUAAAAAUAUAAGAAGUUAAAGUUAGUUUUAAAGUGAAAAUGCAUUAAUGUUAACAAAAGAUAAGUCUUAUAGACGGAAUCUUGUUUUUUAAUUAGUUAUUUAUUUUGUAGGCUAUUGAAGAUAUGGUAUGCAUUGUAUUUAGUAUUUAUGCAUACUACGCAUGUAAAACGAACACGUAUGAAUAUGCACAAAACAGACAGGGAACAUACAUGUAUAUAAGAUAGAUAAGGACAUUAUAAAUAUGAAUGGUGCGAUCAGGGGAUGAUCAUUAGAGAUGGUCCUGUCGCGCUUUGACUUGCACAUUUACCGUUGCGUCGUCUUUCUAAACCAACAGAUGUGAGCUAACAUCGCGUCAAACUACAUCGCAACAGCUGCACACGCGUCACUGAUAUAAACGCAAGUAAACUUAAACUUUAUAACAACGAACAGCAUUAAUAUGUUCGGGUACUCCUUUCUUUAUUUGGCGGCACAGUAUCUUGCGCACAGUUGGAGAGACUUCUGCAUGCCAGAGAAAGCACGAGCACAGAGAGAGCGAGCGCGCGCGCAAAGAGAGAGAGACCUGCACCUCAGUGCUUAUUAUGAAAUUUCAGAAAUUACUCUUUCAUUUGUUGGUGGAUAAUUUCCCGUUUCUCUGUCACACUCAGCCUAACAUGUAGGAAUGCCAAGUUGAAAACGCGCACAUUACGCGGAAUAGAAAAAUCUGUUACGUCUGAUAUUUUAUUUCACGGUAAGUUACCACGGACCAAUCAGCAGCCAUGUAACGUGCAAUUAGAGUGAUUGACAGAUAACCUGACGAGUUACAAAACAAUAUUAACGUGAACUUGGGAGGCCCCUGAACUUGAGAGGCCCCUGGGCUUCAGCCCAGGUAAGCCCGUGCAUUAAGGCGGCCUUGGGUGUAUUGCAAGUUAGUGACUUUUUGAUUUUAAAGUAUGUUAAUUGUAGCCCUACAUGGUCUCUGAUUUUAAAACUAGUCAAAACAGACUUGAUUUAGUAACAUUGAAUCCUGCAGUAGAUAAAGCUUGUUUUUUUUAUAUUGUUGCUAUAUUGUUAAUUAAACUAUUGAAAUGAUGUUCAAUAAACAUUGAUUUUAUAUCCA
Molecule: non-coding RNA, 6739 nt
Organism: Paramisgurnus dabryanus
Lineage: Eukaryota; Metazoa; Chordata; Actinopteri; Cypriniformes; Cobitidae
Source: RefSeq, a predicted model, not a curated record